UACGUAGGGUGCGAGCGUUGUCCGGAAUUAUUGGGCGUAAAGGGCUCGUAGGCGGUUUGUUGCGUCGGGAGUGAAAACUCAGGGCUUAACCCUGAGCCUGCUUCCGAUACGGGCAGACUAGAGGUAUGCAGGGGAGAACGGAAUUCCUGGUGUAGCGGUGAAAUGCGCAGAUAUCAGGAGGAACACCGGUGGCGAAGGCGGUUCUCUGGGAAUGUUCUGACGCUGAGGAGCGAAAGUGUGGGGAGCGAACAGG
This 253-nucleotide ribosomal RNA is filed under the name uncultured bacterium. RNAcentral describes it as "partial 16S ribosomal RNA". It matches the Rfam family "Bacterial small subunit ribosomal RNA", at positions 524 to 776 of the family's 1533-position model. The record is from RNAcentral.